AUAUUAAGAGACUGUUGGUUUUUUGUACAUGUACCUCAAGUUUCCCUGCAAAAUUUGUACUUUAUAGCAAGCUGGGAGUUAAUAUUGACACCGUUUAUGGGAGACCGUGCGUGCAACUUCACCUAGUUAAAAGCCGGUCAACAGGGGGCGGUAUACAAGACGACCAGUUUUGUCUUUUUGGUAUUUUUUUCUCGAACUUCUUAAAACUUAAACUUAAAGUUUGCGCGCCUAUAGAUUCCUACUACUAAAAAGUAGCCUGCAAAAACAGAAGUGAUAGUUCUGCUGAGCCUAGAUAAAGUAGCGGAAAGGGUAUCUCCAAGUCCAAUUCAGCUAAAACUUCCCAUGUACAUCUCUCGAGGAUAGCGUUUGAUGGUGGGCCUAUGUCACCACAGUGGCAGCAGUAUCACACCUAUGCAAAGUGCUGCAAAGUACUGAUGACUCCAGAGCCACGUUCUGGGUACCUGCCCCGCUGCAUGAUAUUUUAUCCUCCCUGGAUGACAUCCAGAAUAUAAUGCUGUCAUCGGCUGGCAUUGUUUGUCUUAACAGGUGACUUUGAAAGUGCAUCCCGUCCCGACGCAAUCCUGGCAAAUUUACAACAUCAAG
This is a long non-coding RNA of Patiria miniata (bat star), 603 nucleotides long. RefSeq lists it as uncharacterized. Lineage: Eukaryota; Metazoa; Echinodermata; Asteroidea; Valvatida; Asterinidae. The record is from RefSeq and is a predicted model, not a curated record. The transcript has 3 exons.